CUCAAUUCCAUACAGAGGGGUGGUCUCCUCUCUCAGGUAUAAACUAAAGGUACCAAUUUGGAAGUAAUUGUAUACCGAGUACUUAACACCAUGAGAUGGGAUGAGACCACCAAAUCAAAAAUAGAAAAGAGAAGAGCCACAAGGGCUGGUUUCUAUGGCACACUCACUAAAAGCUCAGAAAUAUGAGGAGGAACGAGGAAAGUUCAAGGACACAAGGAAGAAUAAGCAAAAGUAACUAAGAGGGAGUGAGCAGAGAAGCAAGAGAAAAAGCAAGAAUAUCACAGCGACCAAACAAGAGACAAAAAGAAAGAGAAGGUGGUCAGUUGAGUCAGGAAUGAUCCAAAUAGAGAAAAAUCUUAUGACGGACAGAGAGAAAUGCUGAAUCAAGGCCCUUCAGUCAGUGAGAGGAUGAGAUCUGGUACACAACUAGAGAGACUUCAUUCUCAGAAAUGUGACUUUCAUUCACAAUCAGCCAAAUACUUGAGGUAGCAUGAGAAGAACAGAGGGAUUCCUGUCUUCCAAGAAUCUACUAAUCUUUGCCUAAACCAAGCCAUACCACUGCAGUCACUUCUCUCCCUGCUGUUUCGUUCUCCGACAUCUCUGUCCUCAAACAGUCCACAGUAGUGCAUCUCCUCAGACUGGCUCAGUGCAUUUGAAUUGGUGAUACAUUAACUGACCUCCAGUUUCACCUCAAGAAGUUUUUGGAGAAGAGUUCACAGAUACCUCAAGAUACACAUCCCAGGGCUGGGGAUUUAGCUCAAUGGUUCCACUGCCUGCCUCG
This 781-nucleotide long non-coding RNA is filed under the name Heterocephalus glaber (naked mole-rat). Its description in RNAcentral is "lncRNA (ENSHGLG00100038875.1)". The record is from RNAcentral. Lineage: Eukaryota; Metazoa; Chordata; Mammalia; Rodentia; Bathyergidae.